Salvia miltiorrhiza (redroot sage) is the source of this 972-nucleotide long non-coding RNA. RefSeq lists it as uncharacterized. Lineage: Eukaryota; Viridiplantae; Streptophyta; Magnoliopsida; Lamiales; Lamiaceae. The transcript has 3 exons. The record is from RefSeq and is a predicted model, not a curated record.
AAUUCUAGAGUGUUCUCCACUUCUCCCAAAAUUCUACCCUAAUCUCAUUACAGAUCCGCCGUUCUCACUUUCCAGAUUCAACGCCUCAAACAUUUUCUACAAUUCAAGUAUUCUCCACAAGCCACGGCUGCCGAUGCUCUCCCUCUUCAUCUCUCUCCCUCUGCCUCACCCUCUAUUUCUUAAUCCCAUCUCCCUCGACCUAUCUGAUUUCGCGACAGAACGGCGGUAAAGCCCUACAUCCCCAAUCCACCCACUCCGCCCUCACAUCUAGGCACUGCGUCGCUCCACGCGGCGUCGCCUCCUUCCUCGCCGACAAUGAAUGCUCCGCCGCCUCCUUCAACAUAGCCCGUAUCCAGCCGCCGCCGUCCGGGUUUCAAACGACGGCUCCAGAUCUCGGCUUCUUCCCUAUGUGUUUUUUUGGCAUUAUUUUGGCAGAUUUGUGAUUAAACCCUUAGGCCAGGGCACGACUUGGUAUUAAACCCCACCCACCUCUCAUUCUCUGCUCAGCGCGCGACGACUUCAAAACCUAAAUCCACAUUUCCGUUCAAUCCACUAUGGAUCCGCAGCCCGAACCCGUAAACUACAUCUGCGGAGAUUGUGGGCAGGAGAACACGCUGAAGCCAGGGGAUGUGAUCCAGUGCCGUGAAUGUGGUUAUCGCAUCCUCUACAAGAAACGCACCCGCAGAAGUAUUACUAUUUCCCUUUUUCUUAUUCUGCCUUAUUGUUGCCUGUUUUUCGUUUCUCUUAUCGUUUCGAUUUCACAUCUUAAAUCAUGGUACAUACAAUAAUUCUGUAAUUUGUGGUAUAAGUUCUACAAUUUGGGGUUGGACGACUGAGUGUUUGAAGUGAAAUAGGUAUUAAUUUAUGGGGUAGUAAUUUAUCUUUCUGUGGCAAUGUGACUACUUUAUUACUCCAAAUUAAUAGUAUGAAUUAAUAGCCUUGGGACGACAAGAAUCUGUUAACUAAAAUUCG